RNAcentral lists this ribosomal RNA (326 nucleotides) under uncultured bacterium. RNAcentral describes it as "bacterial SSU rRNA". It matches the Rfam family "Bacterial small subunit ribosomal RNA", at positions 30 to 346 of the family's 1533-position model. The record is from RNAcentral.
AUUGAACGCUGGCGGCAUGCUUUACACAUGCAAGUCGUACGCGAAAGGGGGGCAACCCCUGAGUAGAGUGGCGCACGGGUGAGUAAUACAUCGGAACGUGUCCUGUAGCGGGGGACAACCUCGAGAAAUCGAGGCUAAUACCGCAUACGUCCUACGGGAGAAAAGUGGGGGAUUCGAGGGAAACUGAGGACCUCACACUAUAGGGGCGGCCGAUGUCGGAUUAGCUAGUUGGCGGGGUAAAGGCCCACCAAGGCGACGAUCCGUAGCUGGUCUGAGAGGAUGAUCANCCACACUGGGACUGAGACACGGCCCAGACUCCUACGGGA